This 71-nucleotide transfer RNA is filed under the name Ictidomys tridecemlineatus (thirteen-lined ground squirrel). RNAcentral describes it as "Spermophilus tridecemlineatus (thirteen-lined ground squirrel) tRNA". It matches the Rfam family "tRNA". Rfam says of the family: Transfer RNA (tRNA) molecules are approximately 80 nucleotides in length. Lineage: Eukaryota; Metazoa; Chordata; Mammalia; Rodentia; Sciuridae. The record is from Rfam by way of RNAcentral.
GUGGCUGUGGCUCAGUGGUAGAGCGCUUGCCUGGCACAUGUGAGGCACUGGGUUCAAUUCUCAGCACCACA